RNAcentral lists this ribosomal RNA (253 nucleotides) under uncultured bacterium. Its description in RNAcentral is "partial 16S ribosomal RNA". It matches the Rfam family "Bacterial small subunit ribosomal RNA", at positions 524 to 776 of the family's 1533-position model. The record is from RNAcentral.
UACGUAGGCAGCAGGCGUUGUUCGGAAUUACUGGGCGUAAAGGGUGCGUAGGCGGCUUUUUAAGUUUGGUGUGAAAUCUCCCGGCUCAACUGGGAGGGUGCGCCGAAUACUGAGAAGCUAGAGUGUGGGAGAGGAAAGUGGAAUUCCUGGUGUAGCGGUGAAAUGCGUAGAUAUCAGGAGGAACACCGGUGGUGUAAACGGCUUUCUGGACCAUAACUGACGCUGAGGCACGAAAGCGUGGGUAGCAAACAGG